RNAcentral lists this ribosomal RNA (253 nucleotides) under uncultured bacterium. RNAcentral's name for it is "partial 16S ribosomal RNA". It matches the Rfam family "Bacterial small subunit ribosomal RNA", at positions 524 to 776 of the family's 1533-position model. The record is from RNAcentral.
CACGGGGGGAACGAGCGUUGUUCGGAUUUACUGGGCGUAAAGGGUGCGUAGGCGGGUCGGCAAGUCGGGUGUGAAAUUCUAUGGCUUAACCAUGGAUCUGCAUUCGAAACUGUUGGUCUUGAGUACUGGAGAGGUGAGUGGAAUUCUCGGUGUAGCGGUGAAAUGCGUAGAUAUCGAGAGGAACACCGUUGGCGAAGGCGGCUCACUGGACAGAUACUGACGAUGAGGCACGAAGGUCGGGGGAGCAAACAGG